RNAcentral lists this long non-coding RNA (615 nucleotides) under Homo sapiens (human). RNAcentral's name for it is "non-protein coding lnc-FEZ2-7:8". The record is from RNAcentral. Lineage: Eukaryota; Metazoa; Chordata; Mammalia; Primates; Hominidae.
CGGCUCUGGCCCCGGCGCCGCGGGUGCGCUGCGGAUGGGCUUGGGGCGCACCCAGCGAGCAGCGAGAGUCGCGGUGUCCCGGGCGCUCGCUGGCACCGUGGCCGCAGCGGCCGGCCUGGGAGCCAGGAGGGCGAGGCGGCUGCACCUUCGGGGCCAGAUUGGAGUUCGAAGAGUGGCGGGUACCCCAGAAGCUCGGGGCCGGGGCGAUGGCUGCAGCCUCGGGAGGGUAUCGCCGGAUCGAACUCCGGGAAAGGGAAGCAAAGGCAUGGAACCUCCGCACACUGGAUGAGAAUCCAUCUUCCAUUCGAGCUGGGAAUAGACUUUGUGAAAGAUAUUAUGUAAUGGAGUCUCGGGAACCCUGAGACCUCUCCAGCGAAGCUGAAGUGCUGUGUUACGGGAGAGAGUGACUGGAAAGUAACAAAGCUGAAUCUUUCUCCCUGGAGUAAGGCCGAAGACUGGAUUACUACACGCCUAGACGUGACACUACACCCAUAGAUCUCAUGCAUCAUUAAUGCCAUAUGACAUUGCCAUUUUCUUUCUCAGUUCACGGACAAAAGUGGUGGGUUUUCAUUGUCUUCACUGAUUGUCAAUGCAUUAAUAAAGAAGAUGUGUGGU